CGGUAAAUACGUAGGUGGCAAGCGUUGUCCGGGAUUUAUGGAGGGUAAAGCGAGCGCAAGGCGGUUUUUUAAGUCUGAUGUGAAAACCUUCGGCUCACCGAAGAAAGUGCAUCGGAAACUGGGGAACUUGAGUGCAGAAGAGGACAGUGGAACUCCAUGUGUAGCGGUGAAAUGCGUAGAUAUAUGGAAGAACACCAGUGGCGAAGGCGGCUGUCUGGUCUGUAACUGACGCUGAGGCUCGAAAGUAUGGGUAGCAAACAGGAUUAGAUACCCUGGUAGUCCAUACCGUAAACGAUGAAUGCUAAGUGUUGGAGGGUUUCCGCCCUUCAGUGCUGCAGCUAACGCAUUAAGCAUUCCGCCUGGGGAGUACGGCCGCAAGGCUGAAACUCAAAGGAAUUGACGGGGGCCCGCACAAGCGGUGGAGCAUGUGGUUUAAUUCGAAGCUACGCGAAGAACCUUACCAGGUCUUGACAUACUAUGCAAAUCUAAGAGAUUAGACGUUCCCUUCGGGGACAUGGAUACAGGUGGUGCAUGGUUGUCGUCAGCUCGUGUCGUGAGAUGUUGGGUUAAGUCCCGCAACGAGCGCAACCCUUAUUAUCAGUUGCCAGCAUUAAGUUGGGCACUCUGGUGAGACUGCCGGUGACAAACCGGAGGAAGGUGGGGAUGACGUCAAAUCAUCAUGCCCCUUAUGACCUGGGCUACACACGUGCUACAAUGGAUGGUACAACGAGUUGCGAACUCGCGAGAGUAAGCUAAUCUCUUAAAGCCAUUCUCAGUUCGGAUUGUAGGCUGCAACUCGCCUACAUGAAGUCGGAAUCGCUAGUAAUCGCGGAUCAGCAUGCCGCGGUGAAUACGUUCCCGGGCCUUGUACACACCGCCCGUCACACCAUGAGAGUUUGUAACACCCAAAGUCGGUGGGGUAACC
RNAcentral lists this ribosomal RNA (925 nucleotides) under Lactiplantibacillus pentosus. RNAcentral's name for it is "bacterial SSU rRNA". It matches the Rfam family "Bacterial small subunit ribosomal RNA", at positions 518 to 1440 of the family's 1533-position model. The record is from RNAcentral. Lineage: Bacteria; Bacillati; Bacillota; Bacilli; Lactobacillales; Lactobacillaceae.